Molecule: unclassified non-coding RNA, 148 nt
Organism: Pongo abelii (Sumatran orangutan)
Lineage: Eukaryota; Metazoa; Chordata; Mammalia; Primates; Hominidae
Rfam family: Metazoan signal recognition particle RNA
About the family: The signal recognition particle (SRP) is a universally conserved ribonucleoprotein. It is involved in the co-translational targeting of proteins to membranes.
Source: Ensembl
GCCCGGUGUGGUGGUGCACUCCUGUAAUCCCAGCUGCUUGGGAGGCUGAGGCAGGAGGAUCACUUGAGCCUAGGAGGUCAAGGCUACAGUGAGCUGUGAUUGCACCACUGCAUUCUAGCCUGGGCAACACAGUGAGACCCUGUCUCAA